This is a non-coding RNA of Hordeum vulgare subsp. vulgare (domesticated barley), 123 nucleotides long. NCBI's taxonomy places the organism in Eukaryota, Viridiplantae, Streptophyta, Magnoliopsida, Poales, Poaceae. The record is from Rfam.
CUAAUACUCCCUCCGUCCGGAAUUACUUGUCAUAGAUGUAUAAAAAUGGAUGUAUCUAGAACUAAAAUGCAUCUAGAUACAUUCAUUUCUCUGACAAGUAAUUCCAAACGAAGGGAGUACUAA